CUGGUGCAGGAGAAGAAAUCCAAGUUUGAAUGAAGAACAGAGAAGCGUUUUCACAUCUCAAUCAACUCUUUUUUUUUCUUUUGGUUUGAAUGCUUGUUCAAGGUACAUAGUUGAAAGGUGUUCGUAACUUUGACAGCAAAUAUUUUAUUUGCCUGCUUAUUUAAUUGUGUUCUGUUUUUUUUUCUCGUAUCUCUUAAUUUUGAGAUGUCUUUUUCUUCUACUGUUUUCUGUUGAAGUUCUUAUGUAGGACAAGUUUUAACCACAAGAAAAGACACUAAGUACAUUCGACCAAGAGUUUUAAAGAACAACAAAAGCCACAAAGGACAUUAAAAAGGAAAAUUUGAGUUUUAAACUACAACAAAAGAACUACUAGUCAUGAGCUUGAAUAGAUUGAGUAGGUUGUGUAAGUCUGAUCUCUUCAUGGACAUGAGAAGAACCUGCCCUGCCACAAAACCAAACAUGAGUACAAAUACAUUAACAACAACAGCCCCUUCAACAUCGUAGUUCCUCACUGUCUCUCUCUCCUCUGGAUUCUCUUCUCUUUCUCUGACAUCUUCUUUGUUUGUGUCAUGAGCACUGCGACAAACCCUAAUUUCAGUAUCCCCAAUUCGUCUCUUCAGUCGGUGUUCUGUGUCGGGCAAAAAAUAAAAAAAAAAACACGAAGCCCCAAUUUGAUUCUGAUUUUAAUUAAAUCUCCAAUUUGUUUUUGUUUUUAAGUUAAGUCUGGGUCGGGUUUUCAAACGCCGGAUCGGGUCUGGUUUUCUUAAAUUGGGCAAUCACUGUUUUCUAAAUGCACUUUUAAUUCUUUUAAUUUUGAUUUCGAAAUUGAUUAGAGAGGGGGGUAAAAAGAGUUUAGGGGGAGAUUUAAAGAGAAAGUCUAUGUUUGGGUGGAUUUAUGAAGAGCUUAAUAGUUUAGGGGGGAAUAAGUAGGGUAAAUGUGUUUGAGGGGGGAAUAGGCAGGUAAC
RNAcentral lists this long non-coding RNA (965 nucleotides) under Brassica napus (rape). RNAcentral's name for it is "long non-coding RNA (BNAP_LNC008248)". Lineage: Eukaryota; Viridiplantae; Streptophyta; Magnoliopsida; Brassicales; Brassicaceae. The record is from RNAcentral.